UGGAAACACACGAAAGGGAAAGGAAACGCCGACUUCUCCAUUCCAAAAUCCCCUCUGCCUCAUCUUUUAGCACUAACGGCUCUUUUUGAUCGAUGUGAAGCUUUGAGACCUUCUCUCCUUUGCUUCAGGACUGCUUUUGGUCGCUUUUCUGCUGCCCUUUGCGCAGUACCCGCUGUUGGCCCUGAGAAAACAACCGCCGUUCGAGAUUUGUGGCGCCUCAGAUUUAUUGAGCCCGAGUGCACAAAGUUGAUAGUUAGCCACCUAGCUAACUGUUAGCUUGCAGCCCUUUCUUGGUUCUAGCUUCGGGGGCGUCGUUUUUGGGCUACAGUCGGUUCCAGGCAGCUAGCAGCUACACCUGAAUGCCCCUUUUGGUGAGGUUUAGAGCUGUUGUUUGUAGCUAAAGUGCUCCAUACUGGCUGCUCGCUGCUAAACCAGCGUAAAAAGCCCGGAAGGAAGCCAAAGUGAAGGCCGGAGUCCAGCACCACCAAGAGCCGCCUCCGUCAGAGUGUUUGUACCGCCGCGCAGUGAGAGUUGACAGCUUACUUGGUGACACAGAGACUUCUCCCUGAGGAGCCAAGAAGCAGACGGCUCAUGACUUCUGACCAGGACACGAAAGUUGUCGCUGAACCACAGGUGCAGCAAGUACAAGAGGCAAAAGAGAACUCUCAUUUGGAAUCAGCCAAGGUUUCAGACCUCAACCCCAAUGCGAAAGCAUGGGCCAACCACAUGUUUAGCCUGGACACCAGCGGGACUGCUGACACCACCACCACUGCUGCCCUGCAGCCAUGGAAGGAAGGCUGCGAUAGUUCGGCCGACCCCGGCCCUGAAGGCUUUGAAGCCAGUGAGGACAGAGCUUACAAGGAGCCUCAGCUAACUGACCCAGAUGAGCCUCCACCAGCACCAGUAAUGCUAGGAGAGCCGGCCCCCGUUGCCACCAUCACACUGGAGGGCUCCGAGCCCGCCUACACAGAGUACCCCGAGCCUGGGCAGCCAGGGGACACAGGCAGUGAUUCUCAGCCUGACAACAGCCAGGACAGCUUAAGGGAGCACCUGAAGAAGACCCUGGAGUUCUGCCUGUCCCGGGAGAACCUGGCCAGUGACAUGUACCUCAUCUCCCAGAUGGACAGCGACCAGUACGUGCCAAUUGUGACGGUGGCCAACCUGGACCACGUCAAGAAGCUGAGCACUGACGUGGAGCUGAUAGUAGACAUUUUACGAUCUUUGCCAUUGGUCCAGGUGGAUGAGAAGGGGGAGAAGGUGCGACCCAAUCAGAACCGCUGCAUUGUGAUCCUCCGAGAGGUUCCAGAGAGCACACCUAUAGAGGAGGUGGAAGCCCUUUUCAAAGGGAACAAUUUACCCAAGUUUAUCAACUGUGAAUUUGCCUACAACGACAACUGGUUCAUUACCUUUGAAUCUGAAGCAGAUGCUCAGCAGGCAUAUCAGUAUCUUCGUGAAGAAGUGAAGACCUUCCAAGGGAAGCCAAUUAAGGCGAGGAUAAAGGCGAAGGCAAUCGCUAUCAACACUUUCAUGCCAAAGAACGGCUACCGGCCAGUAGAGGUGAACCCAUACGCCCAGCAGCGCUACACGUCCUACUACAUCCCACCUGUUUACAGCCCGCAGCAGCAGUUCCCUUUGUACAGCCUCAUCACGCCGCAGGCCUGGUCCACGCACAGCUUCAUCGACCCAGGGCUGGUCACGCCCUUUCACAACAACCAGUUCAUCAAUGGGUUCACCACGUCACACAGCUUCAAACCAGCAUCAUCACCGCUCACCGUCAGACACUUCUCACCCAGGAACAGGAAUCACAGUAAACCCCACCUGAGGCCGGCCAUCCCCACGGCAGACCGUACCACCGGGCUCCUGGAUAGCCCCAGCCUCUUUCCCAACUUCCCCUCUGAGAGGCUGAACGGCGUACGCAGCAGCCCGCCGACGCGGCUCCCCUCCUCUCAGCCCAGGACCAGGUUACCCUCCACAGCGGCCUUCCCUCGCAGAGACGUCGCGGGCACAGGACGCGCGACCGAACCUCUGAUUCCAGAUUAUUCCCUGGGAGUCGGCCGGGGAAGGAAAAAUCUUUCUGCUUCUAGGAAAAAGAGGGAUGAAAAGUUUACAAGAGCCGCUCCUCAGUCGCCACCGCCUCCUCCCAAACCUCCGUCUCCAAGCUUCGAACUCGGCCUCUCCAGCUUCCCCCCGCUUCCCGAAGCAGCCGGACAGCUCAAGGCUGACGAGGCGUUCGACAACCGACUGGGGAGCAGUGUGGUUGUUGGAACCACUAAAGAACGGCAUGUCAGUGCAGACUCCAGCAGCAGCGCCCUCCCUCCAGCGGGUCCCAAAGAGCCCCUUCGGUCCUCCGCCUCCCCGCUGCCUCCAAGCUUCCAGCCCUCACCCACAACCCCAACCGCUCCCCCAGCCUCGACCACAGCGACCACAGCCCCCAGCAUGCCGCACAGUCCCGACCCCGCCGCCUCACUGGAGGUUACCGAGGUGAAGCUGAAGGAGGCACAGCCAUCUGUGGAGCGCGUUCCCGGUACUCUGUCCACCUCCAGCAAAUCGGUGCAAGUGAACGGCGCUGCCACGGAGCAGAAGAAGCCCUCCUACGCUGAGAUCUGCCAGCGAGUGAAGGAGAACCCGACAUCACUGCACUCUGCCCCCACCAAGGAAGCAAAGCCAAGCUGCGCUGCCCCCGCAGGCGAGGAGAGAAAGUGCACUGACACCCCCACCCCAUCAGGGGAGCACAAGGCUAGAGAGACUUACCACCCCUCCUCCAAAGGCGGCCCUGCCUCCGUCACCCAGGGCAGACCGUUAAAGGAGGGCCGAAGGCCGGCCGGGCGGUGGGCCUCCCCGCCCCCACACCCAGGAAAAACCUCCAGCAAAGAUGCCCACCACACCCCACCCAAGUCCCCUCAGUAAAGUGGCUCCUGGCCCCUCCUCUUCCUCCACUACGCUCCACAUAUGAGUUUAAAAAACAGAAAAUAAGUCAGGGCUACUCAACCUAUAUCCCAGUAUCCCACAUAUUUAUAAAAGCAGUGCUGUUUUUUUUUGUUUUUUUUUAAUGAGACAGUUUUGGGGGUGGGCCAUGUUAAAGUCUCUGUACUCAUAAAAUGUAUUAAAAAAGAGAGAAAAUCCAUCCAGUGUUUGAAAAACUUGAAUUUUAUUUAAACUUGAAAAAUAACUUUGCCUUAACUUUUCUACAAGAAGAGCAUCAAUUUUUUUUUUCUUUUCACUGACAAAAAUCCCCCCGAUGAGCUUAAUGAAGCGAAACCGUAGAAAAUAUUUUGUGUUUAAGUCUUAUGUUAGAGAGAAAAAAAGAAAUCUUGCAGCGUUUACUUUUCUUUUUUUUUCUUUUUGUGUAAAAAUUGUAUGAAAGAUGAAAACCAAGGUUUUGCUUCCUCGUUUUAGUUUCAGGUUGUUUUUCUUAGUACUUUUUUUUGGGGGGAGGGUUGCGAGGGAACGUUAUAAACCUUGUAAAUGCAACUAGUCCAAACUGUAUUAAAAAUGUGCACUUUCAAGUAUGUGCUUUGCUUGUACAGUUGUAAAUACUCAGAAAACUAUAAGAGGUACCUUAAAAUGAUUAUAAAAAUAUAUUGAUCCUUGUUAACUAUAAUGUCGCUGGAUGUAGGAUAUA
This is an RNA transcript of Cyprinodon tularosa, 3622 nucleotides long. It is a transcript of the gene named La ribonucleoprotein 4B, with no coding region annotated. NCBI's taxonomy places the organism in Eukaryota, Metazoa, Chordata, Actinopteri, Cyprinodontiformes, Cyprinodontidae. The record is from RefSeq and is a predicted model, not a curated record. The transcript is spliced from 18 exons.